UUUGUGUGGAGAUUCCAGACGCUUUCGCUGUUCGUAGCGCUGCUCCUCAGAUCCUGGGGUUGGAUUGUGCGUCCCUGAAGCUAAGCUGCCAGAGUGCACUGUGCAUUUCCAAGAACAAGAAAAGAUGGAUAAAUCUCCGCACUGACUUUUGCCAAAGUGCCUACAUGGGGACUACACUACUGCAUCUACCUGAAACCAGUACUAAAACACCCAUUCAAUAGUCAGUAUAAAAUACAUCAGCAAAAUGACUCCCUCUCCUCAAAGCCCACUGUGGAGUAUUGGGAAAAAAUAACUGUUCUACCGGGUUACUAGAGACCAAUGUAGAGAUACUAGAAAUAUGAAAAAUAAAACUUAUGACACUACCAAAGGAAUAUGAUUUUCAUGUACGUAUAGAGCAAGAAGUCAUUGAAAUGACUGAAAAGGAAUUUCAAGCAACAAUCCCAAGGGCCCUCAAUGAGGUAGAAGAUGACUGAGAAAGCAAAACAAAAUGAGAAAAGUAUCCAGAAUCUGAAGGAGGAAAUGUACAAAGAGACUAUUGCCCUAAAAAAAGAAUGUAGCAAAAUUCAUGGAAAUGUCAUUAGAUGAUAUCUGAAACACAACUAAGAGUUUUAAGAGCAUGCUAGAAUGAGCAGAAGAAUGAAUGCAUGAUCCUGAAGACAGACUUUUCAAAAUAACAUAAGUGGACCAAAAAGAAAAAAGAAAAAAAAAGAAAGAAAGAAUAAAAGAAAUUUUAAAAAAGGAAGAAAGUCACAGAGAACAAGCAGACAACCUGAAGCCACACUAACAUCUGAAUCAUGUGUGUUCCAGAAUGGGAGGGAAAAGGAAAAGGCAUUGAAAAUAUGUUCAAUUAGGUAAAAACACAAAACUUGCCAGGUAUAGGGAGAGAAUGGAUUUUCAGCUGGAGUAGACUCAAGAUCUCAGAACCAUUUCAAUCCAAAAAGGUCCUCUGCAAGGUACAUCAUAAUGAAGUUGGAAAAGCUCAAAGACGGAAUCUUAAAAGCAAUAAGGCAGAAAGAUCAAGUUCGUAUUAGAGAGCCACCAUCAGACUAACAACAGAUUUUUCAUCAGAAACCCUAAAGGCAAGAAGAGAAUAGGGGGAUAUAUUCAAAAUACUAAAAGACAAAAUUUGCCAUCAAAGACUAUACCCAGCAAUCUAUCCUUUGGAAAUGAGGGAGAAAAAAAUAUAUUUUCCAUAAAAACAAGUACUAUGGGUGUUCACCACCACAUAACCAGCCCUACAAGAUAUUCUGAAAGGUAUACUACAUCACCUAUCUGAGCAAUAAUC
Long non-coding RNA from Galeopterus variegatus (Sunda flying lemur), 1285 nucleotides. RefSeq lists it as uncharacterized. The transcript has 3 exons. The record is from RefSeq and is a predicted model, not a curated record. Lineage: Eukaryota; Metazoa; Chordata; Mammalia; Dermoptera; Cynocephalidae.